UGGCAGCAUAGUAAACGUU
RNAcentral lists this non-coding RNA (19 nucleotides) under Arabidopsis thaliana (thale cress). The record is from RNAcentral. Lineage: Eukaryota; Viridiplantae; Streptophyta; Magnoliopsida; Brassicales; Brassicaceae.